UAUAUUGGUUGGACACUUGUUGGGUCUUUCAGAAGGUCAUCAUGAUAGGUCCCUUUUGGGGGGCACUCAGUAAUACUGUCAGAGCAUAAUCCAACAGAAAGACAGACCAGCAAGUGAGGCUUGCUAUCCCACAGUCAAAACUCUGACCCAUAAUUGUUUCUGUCUGAAAGAACUUCAGUGAUGGAAAUGGAGAGGAGACCGAGGAAAAGAUCGUCCAGCGACAUGCCCAAAGUGGGAUCCAGCUCAAGGGGAGUCCCCAAGGCCUGACACGAUUACUGAGGCUAAGGAUGGAUCCAACAAAUGAUUCAAUGAAGCUUCAGGAAGUCUCAAAGCAAUACCAUAGAAUCUCAAGGUUUUUUUGUGACUAUAUAAGAGGUUUAAACUUUACACUGGAAGAGUUACUGGAAGAAAAAGGACAGCAAGAUUGGCAACUUCAAAGAAAAAAGUCUGAAAGAAUCUAGACUUGCAAGAGAUGUGAACACACUUAUUGAAGAAGUAGAAGGAUGCUUCAGCAGAGAAGUCAGACAAGUAGACACUAAGACAUGCCAUAGUCAUUUUAGAACACCAAAGCUCAAAGAAAAAGUAUUGGAUGCCCUUGAGAAGAAACACCUUGCCUGCAGGAUAAAAGCAACUUGAAAAAUCAGUGACAUGACCAUCAAAAGCCAUAGGUGACAGAGGGAGGUGGAACAACAAUUUUCAAGUUCUUAAUGGAAAGGACAGCCACCUCAGGAGCUCUGUCUACUGAAAAAUACUUUUAAAAACAUGACAUUUCCAGGUGACAGAAAAAUGUGACAAUACUCUACCAACUGAUACAUUAUGGAAUUUGCAAGAGACAAAAAACACUUUCAUAUCAAAGGAACAGAAUAAAAGUUAACUUUAAAAAGUUU
Molecule: long non-coding RNA, 887 nt
Organism: Mus musculus (house mouse)
Lineage: Eukaryota; Metazoa; Chordata; Mammalia; Rodentia; Muridae
Product: predicted gene, 42395
Exons: 2
Source: RefSeq, a predicted model, not a curated record